AAAGUCGUAACAAGGUUUCCGUAGGUGAACCUGCGGAAGGAUCAUUAUUGAAUCCUCAGGAUGUUGCUGGCCUUUCGGGGCAUGUGCACUCCGCCUUUUCAAUUCACCUGUGAACUUAUUGUAGGCUGGGUAGGGAAACCUAUCUGUGUCUAUGUUUUUACACACACCCUUUUAAAAGUCUAUUAGAAUGUCUAAUGAAUAGGCCUUUACUGGUCGAAAUAUUUUAAUACAACUUUCAACAAUGGAUCUCUUGGUUCUC
RNAcentral lists this unclassified non-coding RNA (259 nucleotides) under Basidiomycota sp. Its description in RNAcentral is "partial contains small subunit ribosomal RNA, internal transcribed spacer 1, and 5.8S ribosomal RNA". The stretch from base 1 to 47 matches the Rfam family "Eukaryotic small subunit ribosomal RNA", at positions 1785 to 1831 of the family's 1831-position model. Lineage: Eukaryota; Fungi; Basidiomycota. The record is from RNAcentral.